Molecule: long non-coding RNA, 902 nt
Filed under: Monodelphis domestica (gray short-tailed opossum)
Lineage: Eukaryota; Metazoa; Chordata; Mammalia; Didelphimorphia; Didelphidae
Description: lncRNA (ENSMODG00000035194.2)
Source: RNAcentral
AAAUCUUAUUAUGGAGGAAGACUAAGUUCAUGAAACUAAGUGGCCAGGGAGGUAGGAGAAAUCGCUGCUACCUCUACAUGGAGAAAGGGAUAAAAAGUAGAGGUAGCUCAAGAGAUGAACCCCCCUGAAUCCAUAGUUUUAUAGAGGAUCUAUUGGGCUAAGAAUGAAGAAAGCUUACAAGCCAGGGCUGGUAGGGUUAAGCUUGUCUACUGUUUCUUCUCUCGUCAGAGAUCAAAACCAUAAAUAUUAUUCUGCUGUUGUUUGUUCAGUCAUUUAGUCCAACUCAUUGUCACUCGAUCUGAAUGUUAUUUUGGGACUUUCUUAUUUGCCAAUUUUUUUCCAUUUCAUUUUACAGAUGAGGAAACUGAAGCAAACAGUUAAGUGACUUGCCCAAAGAACACAGCUAGACCAGUUAUGAGAUUAGAGAUCAUCACCCAUCUGAGGAGAAGGCAACACCAUACUUACUCACCAGAGGACAGCUUCUGCAUUACUUCCACAACCAGGCCUCUAGUCAACAUUACGUCCAGCUCAGCGACGACAUCCUAAAAUAACAUAGAUAAUGAUCCCUAAGAGUGUCUGCUGGAAAUACUCUCCUCACGAUAGAACAAGACAAAAGAGUUUUCAAGUUCCCCAGUUGCAUCCCAAACCUGUACCAUUAAGACUACAAUUACCCAAGAGCUCUCAUGAUCCCAUGAAUAACUCCCUUAGACAUGAGUUACCUACACCCUGGACAAAGAUAAUAUAUAGAUGAAGAACUACUGGAAGAUAAGUACACUAAGACAUUGUUGGUGAAGCUGUAAAUUUGUCCUACCAUUCUGGAAAGUAAUUUGGUAUUAUGCUUUAAAAAAAUUAAUUGUGAAAAAGUGAAUAAAAUGUCUAUAUCCCUUGACUAAAAAGUGACA